This 460-nucleotide ribosomal RNA is filed under the name uncultured bacterium. RNAcentral describes it as "partial 16S ribosomal RNA". It matches the Rfam family "Bacterial small subunit ribosomal RNA", at positions 338 to 795 of the family's 1533-position model. The record is from RNAcentral.
CCUACGGGUGGCAGCAGUGAGGAAUAUUGGUCAAUGGACGAGAGUCUGAACCAGCCAAGUAGCGUGAAGGAUGACUGCCCUAUGGGUUGUAAACUUCUGUUAUAAAGGAAUAAAACGAGGCACGUGUGCCUUUUUGCAUGUACUUUAUGAAUAAGGAUCGGCUAACUCCGUGCCAGCAGCCGCGGUAAUACGGAGGAUCCGAGCGUUAUCCGGAUUUAUUGGGUUUAAAGGGAGCGUAGAUGGGUUGUUAAGUCAGUUGUGAAAGUUUGCGGCUCAACCGUAAAAUUGCAAUUGAUACUGGCAGUCUUGAGUGAGCGAGAAGUAUGCGGAAUGCGUGGUGUAGCGGUGAAAUGCAUAGAUAUCACGCAGAACUCCGAUUGCGAAGGCAGCAUACCGGCGCUCAACUGACGCUCAUGCACGAAAGUGUGGGUAUCGAACAGGAUUAGAUACCCGAGUAGUC